Long non-coding RNA from Paramisgurnus dabryanus, 1066 nucleotides. RefSeq lists it as uncharacterized. The record is from RefSeq and is a predicted model, not a curated record. NCBI's taxonomy places the organism in Eukaryota, Metazoa, Chordata, Actinopteri, Cypriniformes, Cobitidae.
UGCAGUCAGACAUAGUUACACGUGCGCAACCUCCGAAAUACUGUACACGUGACUGUACAACAGAAUGACGAAAAUCGAUCGAUGCUUGUCUCGCUGUAUACUGUACUGUAUGUUGUAAUUGCUUCUUACAACAACAUGAGAUACUCAACAUAAGAAAACAUGAGUUUGGUCUAAAAUCGUUUCACACUGUGCCCUACAUAUGGGACCAUACAGACAAAGUGUUUCUGUUUGCUGUGGAAACGAGAAAUUGGAAAGAUGAAUAUCAGAAUGUCAGAAGAAACUUGAAAAAAAUGCCCUAACAAACAAAAUAACAAGAAGAGAGGCAGAAAAGGCUGUGUCAAAGUGGCUAAUUGGUGCCGGGAAAUAGGAGGGAAUCGCACUGCAAGGGCACAUGUUGGAGAACAAAUGGGGGCCGUUGGGACAGCGACAACAUAGGAGUGAGGAGCUGCAGUAAUGUUGUCUUGUUUGUAAAAACCUUUAUUUUAGAUUUUUCUGAUAUGCAUAUAUAAAAACAAGUUUUUCCAAAUAAAGUUUUACAAGAGUGAAUUAAAGCGUUAGUCCAUCAAAAAAUGAAAAAUCUGUAAGUAUUUACUUUUCCUCAUGUCUUUCCACACAAGGCAAAACCUUGGAAUGACAUGAGGGUAACUAAUUAAUGAGAGAAAUUUAAAUUUUGGAUAAACAUAACCCUGUAAAUGUAAUUUUUUUCCCUUUCUUUAGUUGUGUUUUAUAAAGUUUUAAAUGUACAAGUCCUAAUAGUCAUGUUCAAAUUAUUAAUAAACUGCAUAAUGAAGUAAAUCAUGAACUGCUGUUUUCUGUUUAUUGAAUACCUUUAACAUUUUAUUGAAGUUUAAUGCUUGGAAGUUUUGUAUUUAGGGGUUUACUGUAAAAUAAGGUAACCCAAACCAACAAAUAUUGUAGCCCAUAAAUAUACCAGUUGUAACCCAUAAGUGCCCUAAAUAAGUCCUAUCUGGGCCCCAUCAUUAACCCAUGUGGGUAGUCUCAUGUGGGUCCCAUAUGGGAUCUACCUGGUCUACCCAUAUGGGCCCAAUAAGGGGCCCAUCAAGAG